Molecule: small nucleolar RNA, 69 nt
Organism: Lemur catta (Ring-tailed lemur)
Lineage: Eukaryota; Metazoa; Chordata; Mammalia; Primates; Lemuridae
Product: small nucleolar RNA SNORD2
Exons: 1
Source: RefSeq, a predicted model, not a curated record
GGGUGAAGUGAUGGCAGUCAUCUUUUGGCACCGACUUGAAAUGAAAAGAAUACUCAUUGCUGAUCACUU